CAUGUUUGUAUAGAUAGAGAAAAAGGGUUUAGGGUUUAAGCCUUUUUCUGUAUUUACCAAAAUACCCUUCUGCCGAGCACUUUUUUUUUUUGGCAAUUGGGUUCUUGAUUUUGCCUCAAAAUUUUCAAAAAUAUUAGACUGUUUACAUUCUUGUUACUGUCUAUUGCUAUCUGUUGUUUUGCCAAUACACUAUUUCUUGUACUGCUAUUACUUCCUUUUCUGGAAUGCGUUUGGACUAUUUUCCCCUUGAGCUAAGGGUCUAUCGGAAACAAUCACUCUAACUAUGAGGUAGUGGUACAUCUGCAUACAUUCUGGCCUCUUCAAACCCCACUUUGUGAGAUUAUAUUGGGUGGGUCUUGGUUAGUCAAUGGUGUUAAACUUGUUUGGGUUGAAAAGAAGGAAUCUUUUUAUUAGAGCUAUUCAUUUGGGUAAGCAUUUCUCAACCCCAAAUACAGAAGAAAUCUUAUUCAAAUCAAUUUGUGUGAAUUUGAGGGAAAGAAAAUGGAGAUUCUUGGACCAACUGUUGCCAAGUCUUAAAGAUUCUGUUCUUCCUCGUGUAUUUCACGAGUUCCGUAGCUCUCCUAAUGUAGUUUUAGAGCUUUACCAGAGAAUAUCAGCUAGUAGAAGUGUGUUAAGUUCUCUUGAAACUUGUUGCAUUGUAAUUCAUACUAUGGUGAAUUGUAAAAAUUACAAUGAUGCUUUGUUCUUGAUGAAAGAGUUAAUGAUAAGUAGAGGGUAUUCGCCUUUGGAUAUUUUAGAAGUGUUGUUGGAUACUUAUGAUGUGAGUUUUCCGUGUGAUGCAGUUUUUGAUACUUUGGUUAGGGCUUGUACAGAGUUAGGGGCAAGUGAUGGUGCAUAUGGUGUGAUUGAGAAGUCGAGGAUGGAGGGUUUUUUUGUUUCGGUUCAUGCUUGGAAUAAUUUUUUGAAUCGUCUUGUUAAAGUAGAUGAUGUAUGUCGAUUUUGGUUCUUUUACAAGGAAAUGGUUUCAUAUGGGUACUCUGAGAAUGUGUAUACCUUUAAUUUAGUUAUUUAUGCCCUUUGUAAAGAAUGUAAAUUGUUGGAAGCUAUUUGCGUGUUUUAUAAGAUGUUGAAGAGUGGGAUAAUGCCCAAUGUUGUUACUUUCAACAUGCUCGUCGAUGGUGCUUGUAGAAUAGGUAAACUGGAUGAGGCAUUGAAGCUUGUUAGGAACGUAGAGAUCAUGUCAGAUGGAUGUGUGUUUCCUAAUAUAGUUACCUAUAAUUGUCUCAUCAACGGAUACUGCAAGUUAGGGGAUGUAGCAAUUGGAGAGCAAUUUCUGGACGAAAUGAUUGAGAGGGGUCUGGAGCCAAAUGUAAGAACUUAUGCAACUUUGGUUGAUGGGUACUCGAGAAACGGAAUGCUGGAUGAGGCAUUUAGGAUUUGCAAUGCUAUGGUUGAGAAAGGUUUGAUGCCUAAUUCAGUUGUUUACAACACAAUAAUCCACCGGCUUUACGUUGAAGGAGACGUCAACGAGGCUUCCAGUUUGCUGUCUGACAUGAUUGAAAAGUAUAUAUCUCCAGACAAGUUCACCCAUUCAAUUCUUGAGAAAGGACUAUGCAGGAACGGUCGCAUAAAUGAAGCUCUUAGUUAUCAUAAGCAGAUUGUGGAAAACAACCUAAUGGAAGAUGCGUUUUCACACAAUAUUCUUGUUGAUUAUCUUUGCAAAAGCCAGAAUCUAUUAGGGGCACAGCAACUCAUAUGCAGCAUGUUUGUUCGUGGUUUAAUCCCGGACUUGGUCACAUACGGCACUAUGAUCGACGGAUACUGCAAAGAAGGCAACAUUAAUAGAGCUGUUGAGGUAUAUGAUGAUAUUAUAAAGUUGCGGUGUUGUAAUUUUGGCCAUUACCUGACUUUUGAGAUCGAGGAUGUGGACAGCCUAGACACAGCUCUAGAGUCUUUCACGAAGGUUGAGAAAAUUGAGGAUUCAGAAAUAAAGUUUACAUGUGAAAAUGUAAGGAGCAAAUCACCAUUAAGGAGCAGCUUGUGCUGGACAAGGCCCCAUCUGUUACUGCCCUUUAUUUCAAGAGAUUCAAAACAGAUGGUUCUCUUGUCGAGAAGAUUGACAAAUAUGUUUCAUUUCCUCUGGAACUGGACUUGCAUACUUAUGCUGAUAACAGCCAAAUUGAUAAUGAAGAAAUGAUCUUUAUGCAGUUAUAGUGCAUACAGGAUUUUCAUACUCCUCUGGGCACUAUUACAGCUUCAUUCGUUCAGCUCCAAAUGAAUGGUACAAUUAGUGUUGUUCGUGUCCAAGAAGAUUAUGUGUUGUCACAGGAAGCAUAUGUUCUGUUUUAUAUGAAGAGGGGCACUCCUUGGUUUUCAGAUUUUAUUGAAGGGCAAAAGCCCUUUAUAGAUUCGUCCAUACUGAAUACUUCCCUAAGUCGGUUUUAGAGAAUACAGAUGCUGUCCGCAUAACUUCUCCACUGCUGCCGAGUACUCAGACUUUCCGUGUCAAAGAACCCAAUGGUACUGCAAAUGAGUCAUCUUCCAAUUCUCUCAACAAGGUUCAAGAUAGUGAAGGAAAGGAAAAUGCGCACAUGAUGUUGCUCCUAGACCACCACUAGUUGCAAGUAAUAUUCUGGAUUCCAAGUGAUGUGAAGUGGAUAAAGAUAAAGUAUCUGCAGCCUCACUACUUAAAGAUGGGUCACCAGUUAAAGAAAACUGCAAUACUCAGGACCCUGGUUCAACCAACAGAACUUUAUAUAUCACACCCGAAACACCACCUACAUCUCCAAACCCAGAUAUGUAUAGAGAAGAUCCACAGGAUAAUGAUUUCAGUAUUCCUCGUGGCCAUCUAAGAACGCCAGGCCAGAUUUCUCGCAAAAAGCAACUGCAGAAUGAUCUAGAGCAGGACAUGGAAAGAAAGAAGGCGUGUUCUCUGAUAAAGAAAAGCAUGCGUGGGUCUAGAGCCCAGCAACUACUUGCUGCAGUCGAGGGUUCGCGCAGUGAAGGUUCUGCUAACAAGAGGAGGAGAAGAAUGGAAGUAUCUUCAACUAGGUAUGACAGUAAUUCCACCAGUUGCCGAAGGUCUAGCUUUGGUUCUGUGAUGCAUCCUGUAAUGGCUAGCAGCAUGAGAUAAGGUGGGGAAAUACGUGUAAUUUGUAACUGGGUACUAUGAACUAACGGAAUAGGGUCCUCAUGCCAAGUUCUUGGGAAUCUUUUAUCCUCCAACAAACAUGGCUCCAGUCUCGGCUAAGACAUGGUCGGACAUCUAGAGUGUGGAUUUUCAAGAACUUUCAAUGAGUAGAGAUAGAGGGGAUCAAUGGAGAAGUACUGCUGUCCGUUCAAAUCCAGCUUUGUGAUGCCGCAGCUUGCACUGCAUAUCACCUGUUGACUGCUCUGGAGUUUACACUUUGGGUUGUUGUUAGCUGCUGAUAGGAACUUGUAUCAUUCCAAUUGCGAAAGAAUGAGGGACUAAUCCAGAUUCUCAAUAACCCGAGCUCCUGAGAUGGCGCAGUCAAGAUAUGUUUGAUGGACGGAAACAACAACAUGAUACCUAGUGUAAUCUCCACAAGUGUGGUAUGGGGAAGGUAGAGUGUACGCAGACCUUACCCGCUACCUAGUAGAGAUUGAGAGGCUGUUUCCAUGUUUGAUGGACGGAAACAUGCUGCUGAAAUCUUAUCUUGUUCGACUGUUUUAGGUCCUGAAGGAUCAACUUAUUAUUGAUGCAUAUAUCCUGAAGCGUACUGGGUAUGUUGUUGUUGUUGUUAUAUAUCUUGAAGCAACUCUGCAGUUUUCUCCAGAAAGUUCAAGUGUAUUUGAGCACCUUACAGAUGCUUUCUGUUUUAGUGAUGAACAACAUUAUGUUAUCUUUGAAGAGGACGGAGGAGUAUCGCCUUCUUCCUGUUAAACUAGUAGUACAUCAUAUCACACCAUCUACUGUGGUACCAUGAUUGUUGCUCUUGGUGAAGUUACAUAUAGCGGCAUUGUAAAGAUGUCAAAAUAGAACUGUUGAUUAUGAGUCUUUGAACAUGUUACAAGUUAUUACAGAGUCUGGGAGGCCAUAUUAACUGUGGUGUUCCGGCCAACUUGCACACUUCGACUUUUCACCAAUCAUCAAGUUUCAUAUUUGCAUA
Capsicum annuum is the source of this 4091-nucleotide RNA transcript. It is a transcript of the gene named pentatricopeptide repeat-containing protein At1g11710, mitochondrial, with no coding region annotated. The transcript has 8 exons. The record is from RefSeq and is a predicted model, not a curated record. NCBI's taxonomy places the organism in Eukaryota, Viridiplantae, Streptophyta, Magnoliopsida, Solanales, Solanaceae.